UUGCGCGCUUUUCCCUUGUGAAGGGCGCGUUUAGGAGAGAACAGUACGAUGGCCCGUAUCGCAGGCAUCAAUAUUCCGAAC
Molecule: non-coding RNA, 81 nt
Organism: Acidiferrobacter thiooxydans
Lineage: Bacteria; Pseudomonadati; Pseudomonadota; Gammaproteobacteria; Acidiferrobacterales; Acidiferrobacteraceae
Source: Rfam